CUUGACCUACGGGGGGCAGCAGUGAGGAAUAUUGGUCAAUGGGCGGGAGCCUGAACCAGCCAAGUCGCGUGAGGGAUGACGGCCCUAUGGGAUGUAAACCUCUUUUGCCGGGGAGCAAAGUGCCGCACGUGUGCGGUUUGGAGAGUACCCGGAGAAAAAGCAUCGGCUAACUCCGUGCCAGCAGCCGCGGUAAUACGGAGGAUGCGAGCGUUAUCCGGAUUUAUUGGGUUUAAAGGGUGCGUAGGCGGACGCUUAAGUCAGCGGAACAAUUGCGGGGCUCAACCUCGUCCAGCCGUUGAAACUUG
RNAcentral lists this ribosomal RNA (305 nucleotides) under uncultured bacterium. Its description in RNAcentral is "bacterial SSU rRNA". It matches the Rfam family "Bacterial small subunit ribosomal RNA", at positions 331 to 636 of the family's 1533-position model. The record is from RNAcentral.